CUGCUGCCUUCCGUAGGAGUUUGGGCCGUGUCUCAGUCCCAAUGUGGCCGUCCACCCUCUCAGGCCGGCUACUGAUCGCUGCCUUGGUGGGCGUUACCCCGCCAACUAGCUAAUCAGACGCGGAUCCAUCGUAUACCACCGGAGUUUUUCACACUGCCCCAUGCGGAGCCGUGCGCUUAUGCGGUAUUAGCACCUAUUUCUAAGUGUUAUCCCCCGGUAUACGGCAGGUUAUCCACGCGUUACUCACCCGUCCGCCA
Molecule: ribosomal RNA, 257 nt
Filed under: uncultured bacterium
Lineage: Bacteria
Description: partial 16S ribosomal RNA
Source: RNAcentral